GACGAACGCUGGCGGCGUGCUUAACACAUGCAAGUCGAACGGAAAGGCCCUGCUUUUGUGGGGUGCUCGAGUGGCGAACGGGUGAGUAACACGUGAGUAACCUGCCCUUGACUUUGGGAUAACUUCAGGAAACUGGGGCUAAUACCGGAUAGGAGCUCCUGCUGCAUGGUGGGGGUUGGAAAGUUUCGGCGGUUGGGGAUGGACUCGCGGCUUAUCAGCUUGUUGGUGGGGUAGUGGCUUACCAAGGCUUUGACGGGUAGCCGGCCUGAGAGGGUGACCGGCCACAGUGGGACUGAGAUACGGCCCAGACUCCUACGGGAGGCAGCAGUGGGGAAUAUUGCACAAUGGGCGGAAGCCUGAUGCAGCAACGCCGCGUGAGGGAUGACGGCCUUCGGGUUGUAAACCGCUUUCGCCUGGGAAGAAGCGUGAGUGACGGUAAUGGGUAAAGAAGCACCGGCUAACUACGUG
This 468-nucleotide ribosomal RNA is filed under the name uncultured bacterium. RNAcentral's name for it is "partial 16S ribosomal RNA". It matches the Rfam family "Bacterial small subunit ribosomal RNA", at positions 28 to 507 of the family's 1533-position model. The record is from RNAcentral.